Molecule: unclassified non-coding RNA, 288 nt
Filed under: Melitaea cinxia (Glanville fritillary)
Lineage: Eukaryota; Metazoa; Arthropoda; Insecta; Lepidoptera; Nymphalidae
Description: misc RNA ENSMCXG00005015101.1
Source: RNAcentral
GCUGAUUUUGUCGCUAUAUAUUUUCCUGUGUAUAACGUGGAUUUUAUCGCACGAUAAUUUCGUCAACGGAAGAGCAGGGACAAAUUAAAAGAAGAAGAUCCUGCAAAACUUGAAAAGUUGAAAAAAGAAAAUUCUGAAAGAACUAAGAAAACAUAUUAAAAUAUUAAACAACUACCAGAAUUCAAGCGCAGCAAAAACAAAUAGAAAACUUAAAAGAAUCAUUAAAAAAGACUGAAAAUGAAUUGAAAACGUCCGAACUUUAGGUGAAAAGGCUAAGCUCUAGACUAG